Molecule: long non-coding RNA, 2204 nt
Filed under: Gossypium barbadense (sea-island cotton)
Lineage: Eukaryota; Viridiplantae; Streptophyta; Magnoliopsida; Malvales; Malvaceae
Description: long non-coding RNA (GBAR_LNC004263)
Source: RNAcentral
CGGAAGCUUUGCUUGUUGUCGUGUUAUUUUGAAAUCAAUUGUUGUUUUUGAAAAUGUGCCCUAAAGCUAUCCAAUUUCAACAGUUAAAAUAAGUAAUACCUAUCUUAGUAAUACAUAUUAAAACCAUCAAAAAUAAUUAAGCGGCCUUAUUACAUUUAAAAACCCAAAACUUCAAACGUAAAUAAAAGGAUGUCCAGUUCACCAGCAGAAAACCAAACUUUCAGAAUGGGUGGCCACUCCGAAUUCCCUCAUAGCUCCAAGCCCACUAUGGUUGGGGAUUUCCUGCGUGGAUGAAAAUAAAAGGGGUGAGUUUGGGGAAACUCAGUGUGUAAGGAAAACCCAUUCAAAGCCCAAAUCAGCUCCAGCCCAUUGGGCCUAAGCCCAUUCAGGUAAUAGUGGAACUGGGCCAGAACCCUUUUUAGAUUACAAUAAACUGGGCCUUAGCCCCUUAUUCAGAUAAUAAUAUGGCCCAUAGGCCCAUUUCAAAAUACAUGCAACAUCAAUAACAUAUGCAAGCCCAUUUGGGGAGACUACUCAACCCACCAAUCACUACACUCCACCCGUACCAGCCAUACACUCCAUGUGGGGAUAGCUCAACCCACCCAGCCCAACACUCUACAAUUGCAGCAUUGCUGCUCAGUUAACAGUAAAUUGAGGCAAAGCCUCCAGUACGUGGACAAGCUACUUUCAGUACUUCCUCCGUCAAUAUCCCAAUCCCAUGCAUCAGAUAAUAACAACAUGGCAUGCAGUAAAUAACAACAGUCGAACAUGCAUUUAGGUCAAUUUAACCCUAGGGGUAUUUCGGUAAUUUAUCUCCUAGGGGUAAAACUGUAAAUUUUCCACUUUUAAAGGUAUUUCAGUAAUUUAUCUAUUUUAGGGUUUUUCAUGCAUAUUCCUACCUUUCACGUACUACAGAAUCACGUACUGAAGGUUCUUACCGAAUUGGGCCCGUUGGCCCAUCAUUCCAAUUUUGGCCCAUAUAGCCCAAAAAUAUCGAGGGCACAGAAAUCAUGCACUUUGCAGUCCAAACAUUGCAGCUUACCAAAAACAUUAACGAUUUACCUCACGAGCAUUCGCACACUCGCAAAUCUACAAAAUACCGGUUUUCGGCAUUUCGGCUUUUCGACUUUUGUCGAUCCAGACUAAGAAAGAGGGUGUUAGUUACACACCUGUUUGCGACGAUAUGCUGACGAGAUCCACACACGAACUGCCUACAAUUGGAUUACUAACACGUUAAUCUAACUAUUCAAAUACGAACUACGUAUUAACCCCUUACAAUAUUCGGCCAACCACACCUACAGAUCAUAGUAAGCUUAUAAGAAAUCAAUAAGCAACUCAUUAACAAAUUUUUGUCAAUGUUUACCACAUAAUCAUAAUUUCACUGCAAGCUGUCUUCCUGAGCAACAGUCACCAAAUCAUUUAUAACUGGAGCUACGAAACUCCAAAUCAAGUGCCGUUAAUUUUCCUUGAAAAUAGACUCAUAUAUCUUCCAUCCAUAAAAUUUUCAGAAUUUUUGGUUUGUCCAAUCAAUACCAUAUUUUUCUUAAAGUUUCCCAUGUUUCACUGCUUGACUAAUCUGACCACUCUUCAUUACGAAUCAAAUUUCUCAUUGUACAGAAUUCAAAAUAUGUUCUUGUUUAUUUCAUUUGAAACUAGACUCAACAAGAUUUAAUUACAAAAUUUAUUCAACUUCUAAUUAGUCUCCCAUAAUUUAUGGUGAUUUUCCAAAGUCACGUUACUGGUGCUGUCCCAAGCAGAUUUAUUACCAAAUUCACUCUUUCACACAUAACUUGCAUGCAUGUUAUUUAAACAUGUAUAUCACCAAUCAAUCAUCACAUAUCUAUGAUUUUACUUAAGUAUAAUCUCCAUUUCAUCAUUUUAAAGCACAACAUGUUAGCCGAUUUUUCCCCUUAGCAUCUAAGGCACAUGCAUGCUCAUUUGUUUGGCUCAACUUCACCUAUCUUCCAUUUUUCAUCAAAAGAACACGAAACAACAACCAUUUCCUUCAUUUUAAUUCAUGACUAAAUGCUCACAACACAACUAAAAAGAAAAAUAUGCUUCAAGAGUUAAGGUAGAAUCAAGAAGAACUCAUGGACAUCAAGAUAGAAGCAAACUACCAUGAACUUACCUUCAAUUUUCUUCCCCAAGUGACCGAACAUUCAAAAGCUUUCUCCUCUCCUUUCUCUUCUCUAACUUUAGGCUAU